This 495-nucleotide ribosomal RNA is filed under the name uncultured bacterium. RNAcentral describes it as "partial 16S ribosomal RNA". It matches the Rfam family "Bacterial small subunit ribosomal RNA", at positions 28 to 507 of the family's 1533-position model. The record is from RNAcentral.
GACGAACGCUGGCGGCGUGCCUAAUACAUGCAAGUAGAACGCUGAAGGAGGAGCUUGCUUCUCCGGAUGAGUUGCGAACGGGUGAGUAACGCGUAGGUAACCUGCCUGGUAGCGGGGGAUAACUAUUGGAAACGAUAGCUAAUACCGCAUAACAGUAGAUGUUGCAUGACAUUUGCUUAAAAGGUGCAAUUGCAUCACUACCAGAUGGACCUGCGUUGUAUUAGCUAGUUGGUGAGGUAACGGCUCACCAAGGCGACGAUACAUAGCCGACCUGAGAGGGUGAUCGGCCACACUGGGACUGAGACACGGCCCAGACUCCUACGGGAGGCAGCAGUAGGGAAUCUUCGGCAAUGGACGGAAGUCUGACCGAGCAACGCCGCGUGAGUGAAGAAGGUUUUCGGAUCGUAAAGCUCUGUUGUAAGAGAAGAACGAGUGUGAGAGUGGAAAGUUCACACUGUGACGGGAUCUUACCAGAAAGGGACGGCUAACUACGUG